Long non-coding RNA from Pieris brassicae (large cabbage white), 1562 nucleotides. RefSeq lists it as uncharacterized. NCBI's taxonomy places the organism in Eukaryota, Metazoa, Arthropoda, Insecta, Lepidoptera, Pieridae. The record is from RefSeq and is a predicted model, not a curated record. The transcript is spliced from 5 exons.
UGUCAAAUAUAUUUUGUAAUUGCGUGUUACUUACCAAUUUGUGUGAAAAGUUUUAAUAAAUGUAUCUCAUGAACCUGUUAAAGUUUGGGCUAAAUUUUGUUUUCCUAAUGGUGAUUGGACAUCCAUUGAAUCAUUAAAAACAUUGAAUGCCCAGCAUAGGAUACUAUGUGAAAAUCAUUUGAAUGAAUCUUCAUUUACCAGCAGCGAUAGGAAAAGACUUAACAAGUUAGAUUAAGAGCGAAUACAGGAGGAUAUAGACCAAUUAAAAAACAAACAUUGUAGUCCAUAUAGAGCAAGUUAUGACAUCCAAGAACCAUCAACUAGCAAAGGUAUUUUGUAGGACUUGGACGUGAAAAAGUUCAGUGAACUUACACCUCAAAAGCAAACGCUGUCUAAGAGAUGCAGAAAAAAUCUAUCGGAAAUAGUGAGGCUCUGAAAAAAGUUUCAAGGUGAUAAAAACUCCAAAAGAUCUAUAUUAAGUGUACUAACAUCAAACGAACCUAGCAAUGAAAUAUUAAAAAGCACAUUAAAUAAUUCAUUUUCUUUACUAUUACAAAGCCAACUGAAAAACUUUAUAAGAAAAUUAACUGGAAUGAGAUGGACACUGGAUGAUAAAGUGAACGUCUUGAGCAUCUAUAAGAAAUCAAACUUUUGUUUUAUAUUAUUGAUUAGGUUAUUUUGAAAGAAAAUAUUUUUUUAACUGGAUUAUUAUACAUAAUUAUAAGUUUAUAAUAAUACAAAUAGUUUUAAUCCGGUAUAAAAAAUUGGUUUCUUUCAAUGUGUAAAAGCUAUGUUAACCAAAGACAAUACUAGGUUAUUUUGUCAGCUCUCUCAAGGCAUUAUUGAACAAAAUUCCAAUGGUAUGUGGAAUCAACAGCCCAGUAAUACAGACAGUAAAAGAAAUCACAAAAGACCAAGAUGUCAAUGAUAAUUUAUGUAAAAUGGCUUUUGAUGAAAUGUCAAUAAGAAAAAAUCUGACAUAUAACGUAAAACUCAAUGCUAAGGCCGUACUACUGUGAUAGCAAACCAUAGUCGAACUUUCAUGGUUAUUGGUGUUCGAAAAUGCUGGAAACAGCCAAUAGCAUUUUACUUCUCAGGAGAUUGUGACACAGCAGACAAGUCAGCAGCUCUUGUCGAGGAGGUACAGUAAAGUGGAGCCACAUAGAGGAGUUUUAUAAUAAAGAUCGCGAGAAUCCCAACCGUGUUUGCUCCAGCUUUAACCCAGCACCACUUACAACCAGUACAGAAUGGCAAACAGAAAAUCAAAGAGCGCCUAGCAGAUCAAAUUUUAAGCCAUUCGGUUGCAGUUGGAAUAUUUGCCAAAAUGAAUGAUGACAAGACGCCCCUGGAACAACUGUCGCUGGACAAGCUUUUCGACUGAACGGAGAUUCGACCGACAGGAAAGAGGUAUAAACACUUAUUAUAAUAAUACUUGACAUCUGUAAUUGUGGAUGUGAUCCAAACCCCACGUCGGUCCAAUUAAAAACUAGCUUAGGCAAUUAGUAGCAGCGUUUUUAAUACGCUGAAAUUAUUAUUCUUCGAAGACACUAAACCUAGCUGCG